AUUUAACGAAAGUGGCGAACGGGUGAGUAACACGUGAGCAACCUGCCUUACACAGGGGAUAGCCAUUGGAAACGGUGAUUAAUACCCCAUAAGACCACAAUACCGCAUGGUAAAAGGGUAAAAGGGAUACUGGUGUAAGAUGGGCUCGCGUCUGAUUAGCUAGUUGGUGGGGUAAAGGCCUACCAAGGCGACGAUCAGUAGCCGGUCUGAGAGGAUGAACGGCCACAUUGGAACUGAGACACGGUCCAAACUCCUACGGGAGGCAGCAGGU
RNAcentral lists this ribosomal RNA (271 nucleotides) under uncultured Parvimonas sp. Its description in RNAcentral is "partial 16S ribosomal RNA". It matches the Rfam family "Bacterial small subunit ribosomal RNA", at positions 84 to 354 of the family's 1533-position model. Lineage: Bacteria; Bacillati; Bacillota; Tissierellia; Tissierellales; Peptoniphilaceae. The record is from RNAcentral.